CAGUAGUCACGAGUUUGAUCAUGGCUCAGAUUGAACGCUGGCGGCAUGCCUAACACAUGCAAGUCGAACGAGACCUUCGGGUCUAGUGGCGCACGGGUGCGUAACACGUGGGAAUUUGCCUCGGGGUAUGGAAUAACUCAGGGAAACUUGAGCUAAUACCAUAUAAUGUCUUCGGACCAAAGAUUUAUCGCCCUGAGAUAAGCCCGCGUAGGAUUAGCUAGUUGGUGGGGUAAAGGCUCACCAAGGCGACGAUCCUUAGCUGGUCUGAGAGGAUGAUCAGCCACACUGGGACUGAGACACGGCCCAGACUCCUACGGGAGGCAGCAGUGGGGAAUAUUGGGACAAUGGGCGAAAGCCUGAUCCAGCAAUGCCGCGUGAGUGAUGAAGGCCUUAGGGUUGUAAAGCUCUUUUACCCGAGAUGAUAAUGACAGUAUCGGGAGAAUAAGCUCCGGCUAACUCCGUG
This 463-nucleotide ribosomal RNA is filed under the name uncultured bacterium. RNAcentral's name for it is "bacterial SSU rRNA". It matches the Rfam family "Bacterial small subunit ribosomal RNA", at positions 1 to 507 of the family's 1533-position model. The record is from RNAcentral.